UGUUAUAUCUUGUUAGUUCAAUCUGUACAAAAACGGAAGUGUAAAAAUGUCAAUUUGUCAUUUUACGAGGGUUAGUGUAUGUAACGGACUGUUUCUUGGCCAGGAGCAGUGACCACGUAACCAGCAGGAAGUUCAGAAGUUGCUGGUUUUUUAUGCUUUAUCCACGUGUGGAGACAUCAGCGUAUCUCACCUCUGCUGUUCAUGCGAAAGAAAUGCAAAGCUAUUGGCCAGGCCAGCGCCGUCAUCAGUAAGACUCCACCCACGUGUCAGACAAGACAGCGGUGGCUACGAUGGAGAAAGUCAGGCUCACCAGGAUCCCGAUCUGACAGCAAGACAAAAAGAAAAACACGUCAUCCAAAAACGAUGCAGUUAUCAUCUGAGUCAAUUAGUAUCAAGUUAUACAAAUAUACUUUAUGGAGCCAUCUGCUUUGUCUGUUUGUCUUUUCUUUUUGGCAGCUGGUUGUUUAAGCUUGAUUCACUCCAGAAAUCUCACUGACAAACACAUAUACACACACUCACCGAGCGCUUGAUUAGGAACAUCUGUGCACUCUAAUGUAACCCAAUACAACAGCUCUGUCACAAAUUUUUACUUCACUUUUACUUAUUGAGGUCGUAGUGAGUGUUGGUGGUGUACUGGAGUGUAUUAUAUUGAUAAGUGUUCCUAGAAUUUUGUCCACCCCAUUAACAUACACGAGGGGCAUACAUGAAGCAGUCCAGUACACCACCACCACCCACUAUGACCUCAAUAAUAAACACAAAGUAGAAUUAUCACCUUUCUGACAUUGUCAACAAAAACCGAAAAUGUAUAAAGCUUCGUAAAAGUUGAAUUUAUGGCAGCGCUGUUGCAUAAGAUUGUCCAGGUGUUCCUAAUAAAGUGCUCAAU
Long non-coding RNA from Thunnus maccoyii (southern bluefin tuna), 883 nucleotides. RefSeq lists it as uncharacterized. The record is from RefSeq and is a predicted model, not a curated record. Lineage: Eukaryota; Metazoa; Chordata; Actinopteri; Scombriformes; Scombridae. The transcript is spliced from 3 exons.